CCUACGGGAGGCAGCAGUGGGGAAUAUUGGGCAAUGGGCGCAAGCCUGACCCAGCAAAGCAGCGUGAAGGAAGAAGGCUCUAGGGUUGGAAAACUUUUUUCUCAGGGAAGAAGAAAGUGACGGUACCUGAGGAAUAAGCCAAGGCUAACUACGUGCCAGCAGCAGCGGUAAUACGGAGGUGGCAAGCGUUAUCCGGAUUUAUUGGGUGUAAAGGGUGCGUAGGGGGGAGGUCAAGUCAGAUGUGAAAACUUGGGGCUCAACCCUGAGCCUGCAUUUGAAACUGUGAGUCUUGAGUGCUGUGGAGGCAAGCGGAAUUCCGGGUGUAGCGGUGAAAUGCGUAGAUAUACGGAAGAACACCAGUGGCGAAGGCAGAUUGCUAGACAGUAACUGACGCUGAUGCGCGAAAGCGUGGGUAGCAAACAGGAUUAGAUACCCUUGUAGUC
RNAcentral lists this ribosomal RNA (443 nucleotides) under uncultured bacterium. Its description in RNAcentral is "partial 16S ribosomal RNA". It matches the Rfam family "Bacterial small subunit ribosomal RNA", at positions 338 to 795 of the family's 1533-position model. The record is from RNAcentral.